AUACGUAGGGUGCAAGCGUUAAUCGGAAUUACUGGGCGUAAAGCGUGCGCAGGCGGUUUUGUAAGACAGUGGUGAAAUCCCCGGGCUCAACCUGGGAACUGCCAUUGUGACUGCAAGGCUGGAGUGCGGCAGAGGGGGAUGGAAUUCCGCGUGUAGCAGUGAAAUGCGUAGAUAUGCGGAGGAACACCGAUGGCGAAGGCAAACCCCUGGGCCUGCACUGACGCUCAUGCACGAAAGCGUGGGGAGCAAACAGGAUGAGAUUCCCGGGUAGUCCACGCCCUAAACGAUGUCAACUGGUUGUUGGGGAUUUAUUUUCUCAGUAACGAAGCUAACGCGUGAAGUUGACCGCCUGGGGAGUACGGCCGCAAGGUUAAAACUCAAAGGAAUUGACGGGG
Molecule: ribosomal RNA, 395 nt
Filed under: uncultured bacterium
Lineage: Bacteria
Description: partial 16S ribosomal RNA
Rfam family: Bacterial small subunit ribosomal RNA
Source: RNAcentral